This 429-nucleotide ribosomal RNA is filed under the name Pseudomonadota bacterium. RNAcentral describes it as "Proteobacteria bacterium partial 16S ribosomal RNA". It matches the Rfam family "Bacterial small subunit ribosomal RNA", at positions 355 to 776 of the family's 1533-position model. Lineage: Bacteria; Pseudomonadati; Pseudomonadota. The record is from RNAcentral.
UGGGGAAUAUUGGACAAUGGGCGAAAGCCUGAUCCAGCCAUGCCGCGUGUGUGAAGAAGGUCUUCGGAUUGUAAAGCACUUUAAGUUGGGAGGAAGGGCAGUAAGCGAAUACCUUGCUGUUUUGACGUUACCGACAGAAUAAGCACCGGCUAACUCUGUGCCAGCAGCCGCGGUAAUACAGAGGGUGCAAGCGUUAAUCGGAAUUGCUGGGCGUAAAGCGCGCGUAGGUGGUUCGUUAAGUUGAAUGUGAAAGCCCCGGGCUCAACCUAGGAACUGCAUCCAAAACUGGCGAGCUAGAGGAGGGCAGAGGGUGGUGGAAUUUCCUGUGUAGCGGAGAAAUGCGUAGAUAUAGGAAGGAACACCAGUGGCGAAGGCGACCACCUGGGCUCAUACUGACACUGAGGUGCGAAAGCGUGGGGAGCAAACAGG